CGACUAGAAACAGGACAGAAUAUAUCAUCAAGUCUGUAACUCCUCCAGGUCAGGGUCAAAGGUCGGAUCUGAUCUCAUGCUCCUAAAGGAUCUUAAAUCAGAAGUUUAAUGUCAGAGACGGCGUGCAGCUCAGAGGUCGAGGAGGUUUUUCUGCAGCUCUGUUUCAGUGUGAACUACGAUCCUGCUUACUUUGGAGCUGGAACUAAACUCAGCGUUUUAGAAGAAGGACUUAAGGUCACUCCACCGACAGUCAGAGUUCUCCCAGCUUCUCCAAAGGAGUGUGGACACCAGAGUAAGACCAUCGUUUGUGUGGCAGUGGAUUCUACCCGGAUCAUGUCAGCUUCUCCUGGACCGCAAGAGGGCGAGGUCAGCUCAGGUGUGGCGACGGACAGCGAGGCCGUGCUGGAAGAAGGAAAGACCUACGUGAUGAGCAGCAGGCUGAGGGUCUCUGCUGAAGAGUGGAACAAUCCUGACAAUGAAUUCACCUGCACCGUCCGCUUCUUUGACGGGGACAAAACGGUCCUUACUCUGCUUCAAUCUCCAUGUUUGAACUCUUUCAGACAAUAUCUGAAGGUCACGCAGAGCGCCAAACUGACGUACAGCGUGUUCAUCGUGAAGAGCUGUUUCUACGGAGCGUUUGUAGCUUUUCUGCUGCUCAAGUUUCAGGGGGCGAAGCAGAAGAACUGAGAGCAGAGCCGACGCCUCACAAGAGGAUUCUGGGAAAUCUGCUCAGUGUUCAUGUCUGUGUAUGAAGUUAGC
Molecule: non-coding RNA, 759 nt
Organism: Labrus bergylta (ballan wrasse)
Lineage: Eukaryota; Metazoa; Chordata; Actinopteri; Labriformes; Labridae
Source: the annotation of a RefSeq genome assembly